UACGUAGGGGGCAAGCGUUAUCCGGAUUUACUGGGUGUAAAGGGAGCGUAGACGGUACGCCAAGUCUGAAGUGAAAUGCCGCAGCUUAACUGCGGAACUGCUUUGGAAACUGGCAGUCUCGAGUUGGAGAGAAGUAUGCGGAAUGCGCGGUGUAGCGGUGAAAUGCAUAGAUAUCGCGCAGAACUCCGAUUGCGAAGGCAGCAUGCCGGCUCCACACUGACGCUGAGGCACGAAAGCGUGGGUAUCGAACAGG
This 253-nucleotide ribosomal RNA is filed under the name uncultured bacterium. RNAcentral describes it as "partial 16S ribosomal RNA". It matches the Rfam family "Bacterial small subunit ribosomal RNA", at positions 524 to 776 of the family's 1533-position model. The record is from RNAcentral.